UACAGUAUAUCUGGCCAACCGGCCUGGCUGUCAAACUGGGCAGUUGAUUACAACACACAGGCCAAAACACAAACAGAAAUUCUGACACGGAACGGAAAUUUCAUAAGGAGAAAAUACUUGCAUUAACAUUGGUGUCAGAAGAGAUAGUAUUUCAAUUUUGCAUGUUUCCAUAAU
Long non-coding RNA from Etheostoma spectabile (orangethroat darter), 174 nucleotides. RefSeq lists it as uncharacterized. NCBI's taxonomy places the organism in Eukaryota, Metazoa, Chordata, Actinopteri, Perciformes, Percidae. The record is from RefSeq and is a predicted model, not a curated record. The transcript is spliced from 3 exons.